GACGAACCGAGCGAACGUUGUUCGGAAUCACUGGGCUUAAAGGGCGCGUAGGCGGGCUGUCAAGUCUGGGGUGAAAUCCCACGGCUCAACCGUGGAACUGCCUUAGAUACUGACGGCCUCGAGGGAGAUAGGGGCGAGCGGAACUGUGAGUGGAGCGGUGAAAUGCGUUGAUAUUCACGGGAACUCCGGUGGCGAAGGCGGCUCGCUGGAUCUUUUCUGACGCUGAGGCGCGAAAGCUAGGGGAGCAAACGGG
RNAcentral lists this ribosomal RNA (253 nucleotides) under uncultured bacterium. Its description in RNAcentral is "partial 16S ribosomal RNA". It matches the Rfam family "Bacterial small subunit ribosomal RNA", at positions 524 to 776 of the family's 1533-position model. The record is from RNAcentral.